This 253-nucleotide ribosomal RNA is filed under the name uncultured bacterium. RNAcentral describes it as "partial 16S ribosomal RNA". It matches the Rfam family "Bacterial small subunit ribosomal RNA", at positions 524 to 776 of the family's 1533-position model. The record is from RNAcentral.
UACAGAGGGUGCAAGCGUUAAUCGGAAUUACUGGGCGUAAAGCGCGCGUAGGUUGUGAUAUAAGUUGGAUGUGAAAGCCCUGGGCUCAACCUGGGAAUUGCAUUCAAUACUGUAUUGCUAGAGUACAGUAGAGGAAAGGGGAAUUUCAGGUGUAGCGGUGAAAUGCGUAGAUAUCUGAAGGAACACCAGUGGCGAAGGCGCCUUUCUGGACUGAUACUGACACUGAGGCGCGAAAGCGUGGGUAGCGAACAGG